This is a non-coding RNA of Podarcis lilfordi (Lilford's wall lizard), 7016 nucleotides long. The record is from the annotation of a GenBank genome assembly. Lineage: Eukaryota; Metazoa; Chordata; Lepidosauria; Squamata; Lacertidae.
GAGAUCUUCCAUCUCUUCAUUCAUUUUCUCUCUCUGCCUUUCUCCCAAAGAAACUUGCACCAUUUACAACACGGCAACGAAACCUGUGGAUCUGCAGCUACGAAUUGCAGAAGCCUGCAAGCCAGGAGUGGAUUACGGUAACUAAAGUUUACUCUGCUAGAUGAGGCAAUGGCUGUGCGUUGAUGUUAAUAGCAGCUGCAUCUGGUCAACCCUGGACAUUGUGCAGUGAUGUGGCUAAGGAAGUGGCUGAGCUAUCACUCCCAUGAGCCUGUAUGGCCAGUGCUCAGGAAUGAUGGGAGUUGUAGUUCAGGAGGUCUGGAGGUCAGCCCCUUCUGCUUCAAAGUCCUCACAGGUUUCAGUUGAAGAAUUAAAAGCAUACCUGUUUUUCUUAUUGAAGCAUGUGGGCUUUAAGGGUGCUGAAAUUAUGACUGCAUCAUAUCCUAUUAUUUAUUUAAGAUUUUUAAAGACUAUAAGGAAAUUCAAAUCCUAUACCCACUUGUAAGAGUCUUAGUCUUGGUGAACUCAAUAGGGAUUACUUCUGUGUAGCCAUGUAUAGAGAGUUGGGCAGCAAAGGGAGAAGAUUAAAUUCAAGAAUUUCUCCUUCAAAUCUGUACCCACUUACCUGGGAGUAAAACCUACUGAACUCAGUGAGAUUACUUCAGAGUAGGCAAUGUAGUCAGAGUAGAGAGAGUAGUCAAGAAGAUGGUUUUUGCACGUGCUGUAGAGGGAACUGAGGGGCAAGUCUCAUGAGAAGAGAAGACUCCCUGGAAAAGACCCUGAAGUUGGGAAAGAUUGAGGGCACAAGGAGAAGAGGAUGACAGAGGACGAGAUGGUUGGACAGUGUUCUCGAAGCUACAAACAUGAGUAUGACCAAACUGCAGGAGGCAGUGGAAGACAGGAGUGCCUGGCGUGCUCUGGUCCAUGGGGUCACGAAGAGUCGGACACGACUAAAUGACUAAACAACAACAAGAACUGGACCUGGAUAUUUGAGGAGGCUCUGGAUUUACUGGUGCCAAAAUGUAGUGUCUUUAGCAUCAGUGAUUAUCAGAUUAUCCCAGUAUGUAUCUGAGCACAAUUCGUAGUGUUGGUGCUGACCUUUAAAUUCCUAAGAGGCCUCAGCCCAGUAUACCUGAAGAAGCAUCUCCAACCCCAUUGUUCAGCCCGGACACUGAGGUCCAGCUCUGAGGGCCUUCUGGGGUUUCCCUCCCUGCAAGAAGUGAGGUUACAGGAAACCAGGCAGAGGGCCUUCUCGGUAGUGGUGUCCGCCCUGUGGAACACCCUCCCAUCAGAUGUCAAGGAAAUAAACAACUAUCUGACUUUUAGAAGACAUCUGAAGGCAGCCCUGUUUAGGGAAUUUUUUAAUGUUGGAUGUUUUAUCGUGUUUUUAAUAUUCUGCUGGGAGCCGCCCAGAGUGGUUUGGGAAUCCCAGCCAGAUGAGCGGGAUAGAAUAAAUAAAUAAAUAAAUAUUAUUAAUUGGAGUUAAGGGGUUUUUUGGUGGGGAAUCAUACAAAUUAUGCAGAAUCAUGCAAGUUCACUAGCUAUGUUAAGGCAUAUAUGAGGAAAACAUGCAGCCAUCUUAAUUAAAAUCUUUCUCUGUCUUCGUUUUUAAGUGUACAAGACCAAGCUGAUUCUAAUAGAAGAGGAAGGCGAUUAUAACAAUUAUAUCAUGGAAGUUCUGGAAAUCAUUAAAUCAGGUAAGAAUUUGCACCCUGAAGGGAAACUUGCCGUGGAUCCAAAAGUAGCAACAUUUACUUCAAAUAAGUAUUGAUUAAAAAUCUCACAUUAAGUCUCUAGGCCAUUGAUUUUCAGUCAGUCCGACAGGCAACCCUGGGUCUCCUCAGAAGCUUCCCUGAAAGAUGCCAUGCCCAGCACUAGGAACAAAGGAAACUUUUAGUAGCCAUUGAGACCAUUGGCCCAUCUAGUUCAAUAUUGUCUACACUGACUGGCAACAGCUCUGCAGGGUUUCAGGCGGGGGGGGCGGGGGGGGAAGAAAGGGGUGUCUCUCCUACAUCUACCUAGAUUGGACUAGGUAUCUUCUGCAUUCAAAGCAAGUGCUCUACCCCUGAACUGUGCCCACUUCCCCAUCACUGUUUGUCUUUUCUUCCCACCAGAGGUUGUUUCAGAAUGUACGUGUUCUGCAUCAUGCAAACCACGAGGAAAGGGUUUCUGAUAGCUAGAAACUCUGAAAACCAUGGGCCUGACUUACUAACAACUAUUCUUUAUAUUAAAUGAAUACCACACUUUUUAGUAAUGCUCACCUUGAUUCACCUAGGAGCAAAUGUUGAUGGAAAUGUGUUUCUGUUUGUCUCUUACUGGAUGAAAGGCUGAGGAUGCAAAGAGGUCCAAUCCAGAAAAUAAACCUAGGCAUAUGUAGCUCAGAUCAGAUCAUUGGCAUUGCCAAUAACACUGGUCCUCUGUUUCAAAGAGGAAAGUAGGGGACUAGAUUUACUCUUCUCUGCUGUUCCAUAAAUGAUUUCUUUAAAAAAAUAUUUUUAUUUUUAAACACUUUGCUCUACAAGUGACAGAUUAGAGAACAGAUUAAUGACCCUUUAUUGUUCUGAUGCUUUUGUUUUUUUUUCAUUUGGUGAAAUGACAAUAAAUUUUAGGAACAAAAUUAAAGGCGCUUAGGUUGGGAAAACUUACAUUGCUUAAGCAGGUUACAUUAGUUACAAAAACACACACCCUUUUUCCCUCCUCAACAAAUGAAAAGAAAAGUAGGCGUGUUUAAUUUUAUUCCCGUCUUUGAAGUUCUCAGCAUUAAGAAAAUGUGGUGAGCUAUUAGCUGAAAUGUGUUUUACAUGCAACAUUUACUGUGACCAAUGUAACACCACUUGUGCAACUUAAAGACUGUCAUAUAUUUUCUUCCCUGAUAAUUUAAGAAAGGAUUAAGGGAGAAAUUCUAUGCAUAAGAAACUAGUAUAAAGCAAGCUACUAUAAGUUAAGCUGGAGUAAAGUUACACCAGAUCCAAAUUCUGUUCAGCGGGGAGGCUGUUGAAGUUGCUUUGCCUAAGCCCAGCACAGGGAAAACUUUAAACUUUAAAAUAGUACAGUGGUACCUUGGGUUAAGAACUUAAUUUGUUCUGGAGGUCCGUUCUUAACCUGAAACUGUUCUUAACCUGAGGUACCACUUUAGCUAAUGAGGCCUCCCACUGCCAUGCGAUAUCUGUUCUCAUCCUGAAGCAAAGUUCUUAACCCGAGGUACUAUUUCUGGGUUAGCAGAGUCUGUAACCUGAAGCGUCUGUAACCCGAGGUACCACUGUAUUCUGCACCAGGUUGCCAGGUCACGUGGCUGAGCUGAACAGACUUGAGAUCCAGCCUCUCUGGUCCCACCUUUGGCAGACCUGCAGAAGGCCCCCUUUUUGGACUUACACCUGUGUCAGCUCAGUCAGCUUCAGCUCAGCUGACCGAGCCCCACUUGAGCCAACAAUAGCAAGUUACAUCAGCGUAUUUUGGCUAAGCCAGCAUCAGGGAUUUCAUGCUGAUCGAGAUCCAGUUGCUCAUUCCAGUGGAUCUUGCCCCCCAAGCCAGAUAUGUGAGAAUCUAAAGGAUAGUGGUUUGCAUAUUGUUUCUGACUAAUCAUGAACCCAAAAUUAAAAGGACAUAUGGGAGGCCCCUUAGACAAGCCACUCCUUGAGCCUUGAUCCUUUGCAUAUGAGAAUAGUAAUGCUAAUGACCUACUGAGUAGAAGUGUCUCCACCCCCAUCAAUAAGCCCAGACGCUGAGGUCCAUCUCUGAGGGUCUUCUGGCAGUUCCCUCACAGGGAACAAGGCAGAGGGCCUUCUCAGUGAUUGCACCGUCUCUGUGAAACACCAUCAGAUGUCAAGGAGAUUAAGAACUACGCAAUUUUUGGAAGACAUCUGAAGUUUUUAACUUCAUUGGGAAGCUUUUAACGUUUGACGUUUUAUUAUGUUUUUAUAUUCUGCUGGAAGCCACCCAGAGUGGCUGGAAAAACCUAGCCAGAUGAGCGGGGUAUAAAUAAUAAUAAUAAUAAUAAUAAUAAUAAUUAUGCAGAUUUGAUGCAUUCAUCUUUAAAUGUGUAUUGGAUCCAAUUUCUGCUCAUGGACCUGAUUCAAAUAUUUCUCCAUGUUCUGUCUGGUUCCUCCAGGGAGUGAUGCAAAUCCACAAGUCAAGCCCCGCAAGUUUAUCAGCCACAAGAGAUGCCAGGAAUCUCUGCAUCUGGGGGUGAACAAUGAGUAUCUGAUCUGGGGUCUCAGCACUGACAUGUGGCAAACCAAAACUGAGUAUGUAUUUAAUUUCAUUUAUUCAUUAUAUGCAUAGCCUGCUUCUCCACCAUCAGGUCCACAGAGUGCCGAAGAACUGAAGAUUCAGUAACAGUUACGCUGCAGUUUUUAAAAGCAGCAAUCAGCCAAUGAAACAAGCAAGAAAAAAGAAGAAAAAGUUUUUUGGGGGGGCCACUUCCAUAGAGAACUUUUUGUGAUCACAACUGACAUUUUCUUGGUACAUAGAUGGGAUUGUUAAAGUCACAUUAACCAUGCUGCUGCUAAGAACCCUUUAUAUAUACAGUGGUGCCUCGCAAGACGAAAAGAAUCCGUUCUGCGAGUCUCUUCGUCUUGCAGUUUUUUCGUCUUGCGAAGCAAGCCCAUUAGCGGUUUAGCGGAUUAGCGCUAUUAGCGGCUUAGCGGGCUUAGCGGAUCAGCUGAUAAGCGGCUUAGUGCCUUAACGGACCAGCUGUUAAGCGGCUUAGCGGAUCAGCUGAUAAGCGGCUUAGUGCCUUAACGGAUCAGCUGUUAAGCGGCUUAGCGGAUCAGCUGAUAAGCGGCUUAGCGAUCAGCUGUUAAGCGGCUUAGCGGAUCAGCUGAUAAGCGGCUUAGCGGCUUGGGAAAAAGGGUUUUGAGGAACAAAACCCCGCAGGAACUCGCAAGACAUUUUCGUCUUGCGAAGCAAGCCCAUAGGAAAUUCGUUUUGCGAAGCACCUCCAAAACAGAAAACCCUUUCAUCUAGCGGGUUUUCCGUCUUGCGAGGCAUUCGUCUUGCGGGGCACCACUGUACCAGACUUGUAUUCACAUCCUCAUCAUGGUCGCUUCCACACUCUCUCACUAGAUAUCUGGAAAUACAGAAAGCUUUCACCCAUGUGCUCCCGCAUUGCAGAACUUAUAUGAAACUCAGGAGUUGUGUCUUCUCCCAGGGGCCUCAGGUCCCAUAUCCUUAUCUCCUAGUAAGGACGUGGGUGGUGCUGUGGUCUAAACCACUGAGCCUCUUAGGCUUGCUGAUCAGAAGGUUGGCGGUUCGAAUCCCCGCGACUGGGUGAGCUCCCGUUGCUCUGUCCCAGCUCCUGCCAACCUAGCAGUUCAAAAGCAUCCCAGUGCAAGUAGAUAAAUAGGAACCACUGCGGCAGGAAGGUAAAUGGCGUUUCCGUGUGCUCUGGUUUUUGUCACGCUGUUCCGUUGCGCCAGAAGCAGUUUAGUCAUGCUGGCCACAUGACCCAGAAAGCUGUCUCUGAAAGCAGAGAUGAGAGUUGCACCCCAUAGUCAAAUUCGUCCAGGGGUUCUUUACCUUUACCUUUUACCUUAUCCCUAUCUCCUAAAUUAUUAUUUACACCUUUGCUCCCACAGCAAAAGCAUGAAGUGUGAAUUGCAAAUAGUUGUUCCUACCUUAACAUUACAUACCAGGUAGACUUGAUCGACUACAUUGCACCAAUGUAGCACCACUGCAUAUACAAAAUUCAAGUGUAAAGCUGUUUGUAUUCUAAAAUUUCCUCUCUCAACCUGCAUCUUCUUGGAGACUGUUCCUGGGUUUCAGCCCCCUAAUGGAAAUGGAAAUGUUUAUUGGUUGGAAGCUACAGUUGCCUUAGUUAGAACAAGCCUGAAAUUUGGUCCCCAUGACUAACAAGGCCCAUCUUGGCUAUGAUUCCAUGAGAGGGGCCUUUGUUCCUUUUGUGUUGUACCUUUGUAAGAUCGCAAGAGGUGUUAAGGCCAUGGAGCAUGCCUUCUGACAGGGCCGGCCCAUCCACGAGGCAGACCGAGGCAGCCGCUUCAGACAGCAGAAUAUAAGGGGCAGCGAGGAGAAGCAGCUGCUGCAGCUUCUGGGUUCCAGUGAGAUCUUGUGAGAGUCCCUCAAGAUCACGUCGAGAGCUCCUUGCUUACUGGGGUCUCGGGAAGGUCGUGCAAGGCCUCUGGAGGCCUUCUUGUAAUCUUGUGGGGCUCUUGUGAGAUCUUCCUGGAAGCUGAAGCUGCAUGACCCAGGUAAGCCCUUCAUGGGCAGGCAGUCCCUUCCUAUUUCUCCGCCUCUACCUGCUGAUCUAGAGAAGCGGGUGGCGCUGUGGGUUAAACCACAAAGCCUAGGAAGGUUGGCAGUUCGAAUCGCCACGACGGGGUGAGCUCCUGCCAACCUAGCAGUUCAAAAGCACAUCAAAGUGCAAGUAGAUAAAUAGGUACCACUCCGGCGGGAAAGUAAACAGCGUUUCCGUGUGCUGCUCUGUUUCGCCAGAAGCAGCUUAGUCAUGCUGGCCACAUGAGCCAAAGCUGUACACCGGCUCCCUCGGCCAAUAAAGUGAGAUGAACGCCGCAACCCCAGAGUCGGCCACGACUGGACCUAAUGUUCAGGGGUCCCUUUACCUUUACCUGCUGAUCUACGAUGUCUCUAGAUUCACAUGCAGCACUUAGGCCAGCCAGUUUUCCUGUGGAGCAAAGAUUCAAAGCUUUCCUUCUCCCCUUUCCAGGGUCAACUACCUCAUUAGCAAGGACACCUGGAUCGAGAGAUGGCCAAAUGAGGACGAAUGCCAGGAUGAAGAAUUCCAGGACUUGUGCAAUGACUUCACUGAGUUUUCCAAUUCACUGAUCAUUUUGGGCUGCCAGGUCUAAUGGCAGGCAUCGGCGGCAGCGAAUGAUUCCCGUGAGAUGGGUUUGAGUCAGAACUUCAAAGACACCUUCCCUCCUGAAGUUCUGCUUCCUAUUCUUUUUGCUCUCCAAGUUCCUCUUCAAAUUGUUUAUAUUGAAAAUAAAGAACCGAUUUCUUACUGCUGGGUCAAGUUAAUUAUUUUCAUUCAAACCUCAGGU